RNAcentral lists this ribosomal RNA (601 nucleotides) under Cryptococcus sp. (in: basidiomycete fungi). RNAcentral's name for it is "partial large subunit ribosomal RNA". It matches the Rfam family "Eukaryotic large subunit ribosomal RNA", at positions 64 to 657 of the family's 3401-position model. Lineage: Eukaryota; Fungi; Basidiomycota; Tremellomycetes; Tremellales; Cryptococcaceae. The record is from RNAcentral.
AUAUAAGGGCAUUCCCUAGUACGGCGAGUGAAGCGGGAAGAGCUCAAAUUUGAAAUCUGGUAGCCUUCGGUUGCCCGAGUUGUAAUCUAGAGAAGUGUUUUCCGCGUUGGCCCAUGUACAAGUCCCUUGGAACAGGGCGUCAUAGAGGGUGAGAAUCCCGUCCUUGACAUGGACCCCCAAUGCUUUGUGAUACACUUUCAACGAGUCGAGUUGUUUGGGAAUGCAGCUCAAAAUGGGUGGUGAAUUCCAUCUAAAGCUAAAUAUUGGCGAGAGACCGAUAGCGAACAAGUACCGUGAGGGAAAGAUGAAAAGCACUUUGGAAAGAGAGUUAAACAGUACGUGAAAUUGUUGAAAGGGAAACGAUUGAAGUCAGUCAUGCUCUUUGGAUUAAGCCGUUCUGCGGUGUAUUUCAUUGAGCGGGGUCAACAUCAGUUUUGAUCGCUGGAAAAGGGCAGGAGGAAGGUAGCACUCUCGGGUGAACUUAUAGCCUCUUGUCGUAUACAGUGAUUGGGACUGAGGAACGCAGCAUGCCUUUUGGCCGGGAUUCGUCCACGUACAUGCUUAGGAUGUUGACAUAAUGGCUUUAAACGACCCGUCUUAA